This 440-nucleotide ribosomal RNA is filed under the name uncultured bacterium. RNAcentral describes it as "partial 16S ribosomal RNA". It matches the Rfam family "Bacterial small subunit ribosomal RNA", at positions 338 to 795 of the family's 1533-position model. The record is from RNAcentral.
CCUACGGGUGGCAGCAGUGGGGAAUAUUGCACAAUGGGGGAAACCCUGAUGCAGCGACGCAGCGUGAGGGAUGAAGUAUUUCGGUAUGUAAAGCUCUAUCAGCAGGGAAGAAAAUGACGGUACCUGACUAAGAAGCCAUGGCUAACUACGUGCCAGCAGCCGCGGGAAUACGCAGGGGGCAAGCGUUAUCCGGAUGUACUGGGUGUAAAGGGAGCGUAGACGGCUUGGCAGGCCAGAUGUGAAAGGCUGGGGUUCAACCCCAGGACUGCAUUUGGAACUGUCAUGCUAGAGUGUCGGAGAGGCAGGCGGAAGUCCUGGUGUAGCGGUGAAAUGCGUAGAUAUUAGGAGGAACACCAGUGGCGAAGGCGGCCUGCUGGACGAUGACUGACGUUGAGGCUCGAAAGCGUGGGGAGCAAACAGGAUUAGAUACCCCAGUAGUC